AGUGAACGCUGGCGGUAGGCCUAACACAUGCAAGUCGAACGGCAGCACAGUAAGAGCUUGCUCUUACGGGUGGCGAGUGGCGGACGGGUGAGGAAUACAUCGGAAUCUACUUUUUCGUGGGGGAUAACGUAGGGAAACUUACGCUAAUACCGCAUACGACCUACGGUUGAAAGCAUUGGAUCUUCUGACCUUGCGCGAUUGAAUGAGCCGAUGUCGGAUUAGCUAGUUGGCGGGGUAAAGGCCCACCAAGGCGACGAUCCGUAGCUGGUCUGAGAGGAUGAUCAGCCACACUGGAACUGAGACACGGUCCAGACUCCUACGGGAGGCAGCAGUGGGGAAUAUUGGACAGUGGGCGCAAGCCUGAUCCAGCCAUACCGCGUGGGUGAAGAAGGCCUUCGGGUUGUAAAGCCCUUUUGUUGGGAAAGAAAAGCAGCAGGUUAAUACCCCGCUGUUCUGACGGUACCCAAAGAAUAAGCACCGGCUAACUUCGUG
Molecule: ribosomal RNA, 492 nt
Filed under: uncultured bacterium
Lineage: Bacteria
Description: partial 16S ribosomal RNA
Rfam family: Bacterial small subunit ribosomal RNA
Source: RNAcentral